Alligator sinensis (Chinese alligator) is the source of this 358-nucleotide long non-coding RNA. RefSeq lists it as uncharacterized. The record is from RefSeq and is a predicted model, not a curated record. Lineage: Eukaryota; Metazoa; Chordata; Crocodylia; Alligatoridae. The transcript is spliced from 3 exons.
AGCAGUUGAGUUGUCUCAGAGACUCCUUUGAUGAUCUCUGUGAAGUGCUGCUGCUAUCAGUCAAGAUGGGAAAGUGAACGAGAGUUUUUGAUGUUUAGAGCCUGCUGAUGGAAAGGAAAGUAAUUGAUGAUCAGAGAUGGUCUGAAUCUCUGCCAGCGAUACAAAUCACUGCAUAGGCUGCUCUCAGGUGUGAAAUUGUGUACGCCUCGGCUGCCGGAGUGGGGGGUGGCGUGCGACCAGAUGUGGAGCAGCAGCAGCCACCAUGUGCGAGCUUCCCCGACAUUCGUCCAAGCAGGCGGCACCUGCAUGGCAGCACAGGAUGGUGCAUGGCAGCUCUCCGUCCCUACCCACCUGUGUG